AGAUCAUGCAGGACCCUGAAGAUAACAGAAAGGGCUCUUCAUUCUGUUAUUUUCAGUAAGAUGGAAGAGAAUUUGGGGGUUAAAGGUGAGGACUGGCAUGGCCUAAAGUGUGUUUUAAUAGGAUCACUGUGACUUCUGUGCUAAAAGCAGACUGCAAGGGACAGAAGCUGAAGCAGGAGGUGAGUUAGAAGUUUCCUGCAAUAUCCAGGAGGGAAAAUAGAGAAGAGUAAGAAAAAGUGAUGGAGGAAGGAAGAGGAAAAGAAGCAAGGAUCCAAAAUGCAAAUGUGGGACAUUUUAGAAGAGCAGAACGUUGCAUUUCAGCCUUCCUGUCUGAUAUAACCCAUCUGGUGACUGCAUUCAAAAGAGCCCUACCAAGAAUAUUUUCAUGGAGUUAUUUUUCCACUGUGUAUUUCACACUUCAUCUUUGCAGGAGAAUGGAUGGAUUUACUUGGCACGUAGCAGGGGACAGUCUGUGGAAAGAAGUGAGAAGGAUAAUCCAAUAGCAAAAGUGAGGGGUGAUGAAGAGUGAAAGGUACCAACGUCCCCUUCCGCAUAUUCCUCUCCACUCUCUCAGUAUUGGAAUCUAAGUCUGAAGUUUUAGACAAGGCUCAGGGACGGCUUAAACUGUAGAUGCAGUUCCCUUCUCUAGUCCCAAAGGCUCCCAGUCAGCCCUAGGCCUUGUGUAGGGAGCUUCCAAAUGCCUACUCAAGGUUUAAUUAAUUUUCUGCAAAAAAUGAUUGGUUGACAUGACAGCAAUAAACAUCAAAUUCCAUUAAUUAAUACUGAGACAUCAGUGUCCACGCUGCUUCUCAAUUACACAUUCAGAGGCAGCCACGCUUAUGCUGGCAUCAAUUUGGUCGUGAAGCCCAGUAAGGGCUGUUAAAAUGGAAAGAGGACCAAGGGGAGGGAGGGGUAGGGGGGUGGCAUCUGUUCUUAUGCAGAGAUAAUCAGCUUGGAAGAAUUCACACUCCAAAGCCCACUCCCCAGAGAAGGGUUUAAGAGACCUAGAUGAAAGGAUUUAAAUUUGGUUGGGUGAGGCAUUUUCAUUUUGCUGAUGGCCUGGAAGGGAACUAUCAGCUUGAUGAAAACAAAGCUUCCCUCGGGUUCUAAGACAUAUUCUUCAAACUGGCUCCCCUCCCAUUGUUCUUUCUUUCUCUCUUUCUUUUUUUUUUUUUUUUUAUUAGAUGAACUCAUUUAUUUGACAUAUUAAAUUAGACAAAGAAAUGUAUAUGUAACCAGAUAAAAACAAUCACAUUCUCAUACUACUUGAACACACAGCAGUGGUCAAAAAUAAUGGAUUGUAAAAUGGACCCCAGGAUUUAAUGCAAAAACCACCCCAUACGAGGAGCUACAGUCAUCUCCAAUUUCAUGUUAAUUCCGAAGAGAGUCAAAGGGGAACAAAAAGCAAUCUUUGCUUCUUCCACUCAAGAAAAAACCCUAAAGGGACCACAGCUCCCAUCAGGCACAUGCUUUAGGGCCUGGAGACAAAGUGAAAUGUUCUCAUGCACACAUGAAGGGUUUGGUCAUGGAGAUAAAGCAAUGUGAUUAAAUCUUGAUAGAUUUUUGUUUUAAGAGUGAAAAGAAAAAAAAAAAAAACUGGCCUUGUUUACCUGGUUACAAAGAGUGCUGUUGGUAAUCCCUGGUAAAUUAGCAUCUUGAUGAGCAUAUUUUCCCUCCCAGGAUGAAGGCACCAAGGAAGAAUCUAUUUGAGGCCGUCUCCGGCCCAUUCCCACAUGGUGGCUCCAUCCCUACCCCUUCAUAAGCUCUGCCCCUGGAAGCAGUUGUUUCAUUAUUCCAGAAAUUUUAUGAUAAUUGUUUGUGACUUCAAUUUAGAGAUUAUAAAAAUAAAACCCCAGCCCCUAUUCCAGAAAUUUUAUGAUAAUUGUUUGUGACUUCAAUUUAGAGAUUAUAAAAAUAAAACCCUAGCCCCACCCAGCCUCAGAGGACAAUAGGCAAAGUUGAUCAUUGUUACAUUUCUUCCAUACCUUUAUAGGGAAGUAUUAUUCCCUUAUUAAUAAUUUAAUGAUCUUUUCCACUUUAAGGAUGGAGAGACAAAGACCCAAAAAGUGAAGCAGUUUGCCCAAAGUCACUCUCCAUAUGGGUUACAGGUCCCUAAUAGAUACUGAGUGUUCAGAACAAGGGAGCAACGGAAGGGGGUGGGCUGAAACAAGAACAUGCUUACUGCAUGCUCCAGCUGGGCCUGGAGGCUCCAGGUGCAGAGGCUGAUGGAGUUAAGAUAGGGAGGACUCUUUAUUAUGAUUUAUUUCUGUCACCAUGUUUCAAAAGGUUGGAGAGAAGGUGACUGGCCUAGACUAAAAAGUUGGAGCUGCACAGAUAGAAAUUAAAUGGUAGAGGUUAGGAUGUAAUGAUUUUGGAUUCAGAUAUCCUCUGGUUAUAAAAAAAUAAUGAAGAGAAAAGAAAAGGCCAAUCUGACACAAAGGAUUGGACCUAAUGCUGAGAAAGGAGUCAAAAUAUUUCUUUCUAUUCCCAGGCCCCAUCACUAACUUGCAGAACAAUCUUGAUCACCUCGCUUAAUCUCUCUGAUCCACAAUCUCCCAUUUGUUUGAGGAUACUUGGUUAAACCUGCUCUGUUAUUGGGGUUGAGAUGGGAUAAGAAUCAAAUGGCAUUUGUUGAGCAGAAAACUCCAUUCAUUUAAAAAGACCUAUACAUGGGGUGGAAGUUGGUUAUCUACCACUUAGAGAAUAAUGGCUAGGGCUAAUGAGCUUUUAAUAUGUCCCAGGCACUAGGCUAGAUAUUUGGCAAACUAGUCCAUUCAAUCUUCACAAAUAUCCUGUGAAGUAAGUACUAGCAUUGCUCUAGGUUGCAAGAUGAGGAAACUGAGGCUCAGAGAUGUCAAGAUACUUGCCUGAGAGUUGCACAACAAGUAGGUGGCUGAGCUGAGAUUGAAAACAAAAUUUGUCUAAUUCUGGAGCUUGAGCACUCACACUCUGGGCCAUUCCACACGGCAAAAGCACUGUAGUGUAAUUCAGAAAAAGUCAUCACUCGCCUCCAUUGAACACUAGGUGAAAAACAUCAAAUGGGAGCAUACACUUGCAAAAAGAGAACAAUUUCUGGCCCUAAACAACCUCCUAUUUUCCCCAAUCAGUACAUUUUCAAUCCCACGUCUCAGAUGAGAGCCUACAGGGAAAGAAAGCAAGUAGAGAGGUUUGGAGCAGACAUAGCCCUGAAACAUCCUGAAGGCUCUAUGGAUCAGCACAUGGCUCCUUCUGCUUGAGUUCAUUCCAAACAAAUCCAUUAAAAGCACCAUCUUAAUGAAUAUUUUAUACAGUUACGACAUAGUGAGUCCCAUUUAGGAGGGGCUCGUACUAAAGGCUGAGACAAUGAACUACUCAAAUAGCCAACUAAUCAGCAAGGCCAAUAGAAAUCUGGUCGAGGGCACAAUAGUUUCACAGAAAGAAAAAAAAUGAAAGCCAUAUACCCUCUUCUUGCUGGUUUAAGAUUAAAAAAAAAAAAAAAAAACUCUACCUACCAUGUUCAAAUACUGCCAGCCAUUAGGAAAAGUCAGCUGUUUGAGUAAUUCAUUUGUUUUCCUUGGCCCCUUCACAGCUUCUGAAGAAAGUCAAUGUACAAUUUGCUUGUUUCUGUUAGAUUAGGUUCUAUCUUUGAGCUCUUAGUAAACAUGCACAUACUCACACUCAAACACACACACAUGCCUUAACCUACUUCCCCUAGAAACAAACUGGAGGAAGGAGAGAAUCCUCAGGAACAAAUUCAGUGAUACCCCAGGUGCUGUUUCCCCAAGUCUUGCCCCUGACACAGGAGAACCUGGUGUGAUUCAAGGACUUUGGAGGAGAAAAAGGCUGAUCCUACAAUCCGGAGAGCAAAUCGGUGGCCUGGGUGUCAAUGCACCCUGUGGAUGGAUUCUGUUUGCUCUGCCAGCCUUGAUUUGCCUACUGAUUUUGUUGUUGUUGUUGUUUUAUUUGAGACACGGUUUGACUCUUGUUGCCCAGGCUGGAGUGCAAUGGCACAAUCUUGGCUCACUGCAACCUCUGCCUCCCAGGUUCCAGUGAUUCUCCUGCCUCAGCCUUCCAAGUAGCUGGGAUUACAGAUGCCUGCCCCUACGCCUGGCUAAUUUUUUGUAUUUUUAGUAGAGACAGGGUUUCUCCAUGUUGGCCAGACUGGUCUCAAACUCCUGACCUCAGGUAAUCCACCCGUCUCGGCCUCCCAAAGUGCUGGGAUUACAGGCGUGAGCCAUUAUGCCUGGGUUUGCCUACAGUUUUUAAGAAAUUUUAAUUCAUUUUUAACAUUUAAAAAUGUAGAGCUUUCACAAACUUUUCUAGGUUUCUGAGUUCUCUUGAAAGAUGAAGAGAGCUGACUGACAUCACAGAGUCUAAUUUCUGUACAGCCACAGUCACCUGGAGCCAAGUUGUAGCUGGGAAAAGAACUGGGAUUCCCACUUCCCAGCCUCCACGGUGUUUCCCCAAACAGAAACACAGGAUCCAUUGGCAUUUGUCACUACCCUUAUGUGGCUGUUUUCCUUAGAGUUAAAAGGAGAUCAAGGUAUUUUUUUAUAUCAACAUCUCUAUCUAAUGUGGGAAAGUGAAUGGCAGAUUAGGAUAGGCAUGUAUUUAAAGAAAAAGGAGAGGAAACCAUAAGCCUAAUUCUGUGUGGGAAUAAAGACUAUGCAUUUGUGUUUGGUUUAAAGUAAGGUUCUCACCUGGUCCCUGUGGGCAUUUGAGAUUGACACCCUGGUCUAAAGUUACUGACGAUGUCUGGAAAUUGGUCUUUAGGCUCUGUUUUCAUUCCCAUAGUUCCAGGUGGCUUCCUUAGUACUUGGCCCAUUGCCAGGCAUGUAGGAGAUGUGCCGAAAAAUAAAAUGCAUAAUGAACUAAAAUUACAUUGCACCCUUUUCCCCUCUUCAUUUGAACAGAUUUCUGGGCACCACCUACCCCAUGGUACCAUCCUCCUUUGUUGCUGAUUUAAGAAUCCUUUUAGAGCCUUUUUUGCAGUCUAUACAGCUUUACUUCAGGACCAAUCAGACUGGAAAGAGCCUGAUAAUGGGAUCACAUAGAUACUUUAGUGACUGGUUUGAUAAAGUAUUCACUUAGAGACCAGCCAAACUUAGAUUUAAAUUCCAACUUUGCCACUCAUUGUCUUAACCUGGGUUUCCCAAGAGCAGGGCCUGAGAUAAAGAUGUGUGUGGAGGCUUAUUAAGGAAUGUGAUCCCUGGAAUAAGGGGCGGGAAAGUGAAGAGGGAAGGAGGAAAAAGCAAUGCAAGGAAGCCUGAACUGCUGCAGGCAAUUGGUUACCUCAUACAGGAGCUUCCGAGGAGCCUUCUGGAAUGUGUGUUGCAUUCAUCGGCCAGCAACAAUGGCCUUUACCAGCUCCUGCCCACAGCCCCGGGGUAUAUCAAUAUCCUCAUGCAACCAAAGGAAGCCAGAGAAAGUGGCAAGGCCAAGAAGAUGUGAGGUGCUGUGCAAAAGAUGUCCUAUACAAUGACCUUGGUUGAAUUACUUCAUGUCUCAAAACCUCAGUUUCUCCAUCUGUAAAAGGGUAAAACAUUAGUGUUUCCCUUUUAGAGAUGAAGGGAGGAGGUAAUGAAAUAAUUCAUGUAAAGCCUAAUAAAAUGCAUAGCACAUAGUACAUGUUAAUAAAUGGCGAUUUCUAAUAUUCUAAGAACUGUGCAUCCUGGAGGACUUUAUCUGAGAGCUUAUAGCAAAAAUCAAUGAAAGUGAACAAUAGUAAUUACAGUCUCAGCAUUCGCCUAACGAGAUGGCAAACUGGCUGCUACUAAGCCAAUUCUGUCUCAUAAACGUGUUCUUUUGCACCCUCCCCAUGCUAUAUAUGUGUAUACGACAUAUAAUAUAUGUAUAACAUAUAUUUUUAACAGAAAUUGAUUUUUUGCCAACACUUAAAUUUCAUAAAAUUUCAAUAAAAUAAGAUUUCUAGCUUAACCUUGACAAAUAGAAAGAUUUGGCCCCGCCGGGCUAGUAUUCCCACAGCCAGCUACAGUUGAGUAGUGGUGACACUUUCAGCUGGGGCACAUCUUCUCCAAUUAUCCACCAUCCCUCUGUGUCCACUUCACCCAUUCACAACCUGUCUGCCCCCAUCGACAUUUGCAUUUGAAGCCCCUAGUCUGAUCUUUAACCUAGAAAAGCAGGGUCCCUGGAAACUCAGCCAGGACCCAGGGACAGAAAAUGCCUGGAAACAACAAGGUUUUGUUUUCCAGUAAGAAAGCAGAAGAGCCACACGAGGGCCAGGGCCGUGGGACUCAAUGUCCCUGUGAUGGAGAGCUAAGUGGAUCCUGCUGAGGUGAGAGUGUGUGGUUCCAGCGAGGCUGGCUAUUACCAACCUGAGGCUGAGGUCACCCCAGCUGCUCCUGGCGCCUGCAACUCUGUUUAUUUCAUUCUGGUUCAUACCAGAGAUUUAUUUUUAUGAACAGUGAACAUUUUUUGUAACAUUCCCUCAUUUAACCUUCAUUAUCAAAGUCUCUGCCCAAAGCCCAUAUAAGCACCAUUAUUGCCCAUAUAACAUUUUCCAACACAAACCAUUUAAGGCAUUUUUUUCCAUUUUUAUUUAUUUCUCUUCUGUUACAUUUCAUUUGAAAUGUGCAUGGGGGAGAAUGUGUCUUGUUUUUAUGUUGUCUCAUACAGACCAUAAGCCCUAAUGGUGGGGGCUGCCUAUUUUGGAGGUUAAUAAGCAAUGGGGACAUUCGUCAUAUGGAACAAACAACCAGGAUAUGCUGGCCUCUUAAAAAAGGACUAGAAAGGAGUUGUGUAUGACUGAGGAAAUUGAAAAGAAAAUAACCCAGCUUUUUUGUGUCUUCUGAAAGCCUAGAAAACAAGAAGCAUGGUGGCUCCAGAGCAGGAAGCUGGGAGUAUUAGGAGCACAGUGCUGUAGGCUUGCUUCUCAGAUCACCCAUUAAUAAGCAGAUUCUCCAUGGAGGGUGACAGUAUGCCACGUAUCCCUGAAUCCUCCAUACCUGGCCACUGUCUGGUCCACGGUGGGUAAUUAAACAGUUUAUACUAUGGAUCUUAGAAACUCAAAUGACAUAAGAAAAAUUAGUAAUAUAUUGGCUCACAUAGUUGGAAAGUUCAAGUUCUUCAGGCAUAGCUGUAUGCAAAAACUAAAAUAGUGUCUGCUAUGAUCUGAAUGUGUCCCCCAAAAUCCAUGUAUUGAAAUGUAAUCUGCAUUGUGCUAUUAAGAGGUAGGGCAUCAUGAUGGCCCCGCUCUCAUGAAUGGUUUAGUGCCUUAUCAAAGGGCCAGAGGCAACUAGCUUAGACCUUUUUUACUCUUCUGUUCUUUGGCCAUGAAGGUACAUAGAUUUUGUCUCCUUUUUGCCCUUUUGCCAUGUGAGGAUGCCACCAUGAGGAGACCCCAUGGAUGGACAGCAGGCCCUCACCAAACACCAAAUCUUCUGGCACCUUUGUCUUGGAUAUCCUGGACUUUGGAAGGGUAAGAAAUAAAUUCCUAUUGUUUAGAAAUUAGCCAGGCUCAGGUAUUUUGUUAUAAAAGCAAAAACAGACAAAGGCAGUGUCUUUAGCUUCUCUGUCUCUGUAUCUCUCCGAAUAUUCACUCUUCCUUUCUCUCUGAUGAUUUUACUUUAAGCAGGCUUUCUUCUUUGAGUAGUCAGAUGUUCAUCAAGAAGCUCUACGUUUAUAUUCCUACAAAUUCAAUAACUCCAAUGAUAGUGGAAGGAAGGAAAGAAGGGAGGGAGGAAAAAAGAAAGUAAGAAGGAGAGGGAAAGAAUAAGUCUUUUUUCCAGUAUUUUCAUCAAAGGUCCUCAUAUCAAUCAUCUCAAUAGCCCAGUUUGGAUCCUUGAACAAAUGACUAUAGUCCAAGGUAAGAAAUGCAUUCAUUCGAAGGUAAGUCAAUGGUUAGCCUACCCUCCCCACAGGGGCUGAGACUGGAAAAGGUAGAAUGCGUUCUGUGUGGGCAUAAGCAGCAGACCCCCACCACAGAAAGGGUGGAUGAAGCUAUUCUACAAAGACAACAGCCAGCUAGGAAACCUUGCAAAGUCCAUUUAAUUCAUUGCCACAAACACGUACUGCCUCUUACUAUAUGUUAAGAUUGUGCUAAGGUCUGAGAAGGCAAAGUUGCAAAGCCAUUGACAAUGAUCUUGACAAACCUAACACCUGGUAGAGGACACAGCUAACAAAUCUUUAGGAACCCCUGUGCUGGAAAAAGCAGUGGAAGUAUGUGCAAGGUGCAAGAGCACUUCAUCUGUUGGGAAUUCUGGGAGCCAGUGUGGAACAUAUGCCUCCAAAUUAUUAAACAAGCAAUUGUGGGGGCUGAUGGUGAGGAAACCAGGGUACUUACAUAUGAAUUACGUUGAUCAUUGGCUAAGAGCUGCUGGAGGAUAAGGACGUAAUUCCCCAGGCAUUUCUGGCCUGCCAUAUGUGUGGACACAGGAGGCUUCCAAGGUUCUGAGGAGAGGGGAAGGAAGGAGAAAGGAGGGGAGGGGAAGGGAGGGGAGGGGGAAAUUGGACUAGCAAAUCCCUGAGGACCUAACCAACUCUAAAAUCCUAAGGGGCAAGAUUUGGUCUAGCAAUCUGUAUUUUAUACUUCCACACUGGUUUGUCUCCAUUUUAAAGCAACCUAAAAAUGCGUGGGAAAUGGGUAUGUGGUAGGAGGUGGAGGCAACUGGAAGAGUGAGACGGUUAACGAUUUUGUGGUGGAAAAUCCAGGACUCCACACAAAAAUAUAUGCAUCAUAACAGCCUAACUUGUUUAUAAAGGAUCUGUUUACUUUUAACCCUAAAAUCUUGGACCCUGCACUUGCAGGGUAGAAUAAUUACAGACUAUGGGCCAUGGUAAGAGGACCCUCAAGGCUGUGGUUUCAUGGAACAGAUGAAGGUCACUGAGGCCAGAGGAUGGUUAUGCUACUGACCAAGUGCUCUUCCCUUUGUGCACAACCAGUGUCAGAAACCAAGAGGUGGAUGUAGUAAACCAGGCUUCAUAGAGAAAAUUAAUUUCUUUUCUCCAUCUAAGGGCUCAAUUCCACAUCACAUUAGUACUUUCAAAGCUUCCACCCAACCCAGUGAGGUUGGUUAUAUUUGCUUAUAUUAUUUUUAGCAUUUCCUACCUUUGGAAGUGUUUUACUGGCAGUUAAAUAGACAGGACCCCAAAAUAUUACUGCAACAGGCCAAUGGCUCUAUGUGGCUACAGUUUCAGAGUAGGGCUCCCCAUUCCAACAAAACCUUGUUCCCCAGAAAUCUGCCCAUAAAACAAAAACUCCCUGUGAACCCACACUAGGCCCUGUACAGAGCAUGUGAGUUCCCAGGGAGAGGUUUAUCUUCUUCUUGUUUCCUAAGAUGUGUUCCGAUAAAUUAGAUUUCUCUAGUUUUGUUCCUUCCCUUAUAUAUGAAUUGUGUUGGUCAUUAGCUAAGGGAUGCUGGAGGAUUCUUUUUACAUUCCAUAGAGCACCACUACUGUUGUUUCUAAAGGAAGCUCAAGAAUUGCAUUUAAUGGCAAAGGAUGGAGCAUUUAAAGUGGGAAGUCUGGGGAUGAUUUUAAAAAUCCCAUAAAUAGACAUUAGUGUGUCUUUAUUAGUCAUAUUAGUGUUUCUAUUUUAUCACUCACAUUAGUGUUUCUAUUUUACAGAUUAGGAAACUGAUUACAUCUUCUUUUUAAAAAAUAUUAUACAGAAAAAAUGUUAAAAAUAACAAUUCUAACUACUACUUCUGUGACUAUUGCUACUAUGAUUAAUAUUAACAAUGCAGUUAAACAUAAUUGAAUUAUUAAUUAAUAAUCAAUCAUGACCGGAUGCAGUGGCUCAUGCCUGUAAUCCCAGCACUUUGGGAGGCCAAGGCGGGUAGAUCACCUGAGGUCAGGAGUUCGAGACCACCCUGGCCAACAUAGUGAAACCCUGUCUCUACUAAAAAUACAAAAAUUAGCUGGGCAUGGUGGCACGUGCCUGUAAUCCCAGCGACUCGGGAGGCUGAGGCAGGAGAAUCCCUUGAACCCAGGUGGCAGAGGUUGCAGUGAGCUGAGAUGGUGCCAUUGCACUCCAGCUUGCGUGACAGAGCAAGACUCUAUCUCAAAUAAUAAUAAUAAUAAUCAUCAUUAAUGAGUUAAUUUAAUCAUUAGUUUAUUGGAGCAUUAUUGAACACUCAAAGUUCAAAAUAGUGCUAGACAUUACCGAUAAAAAUAAGAAAAACAAGAAAUUAUAGUCAGCUAUAUCCAAACAGUAUUAGGGCAUAAGACCAUACCUUGGGAACAACUGUAUGCAGUCAGUUUCCUUAAGCAAAAUGCUAUCAUUGCUCAAUACUAUAUACCUAGAAUGAAAAACAGAGGAAAUGAAAACAUGGGAUUCUUAACUAAAUUCUUCCUCAAUUUUGACAUGUGUUUAAAAUGUACAAAUAAAAUUUUUAGAAAGCUUCAGAAUAAAAGUGAUAUGCAUGCAUCAAGCACUUAUGUUAAUAGAACUUCAUAAGAAAGAGGUGCUUUUUAAAAAAGCAGCAGUAGUAAUAAAAGCUUAACUUUUGUUUUUACUUUAAUUAUUGUAAGUACUAAUUUGGGGAUACUGCAUGUUGAUAUGACAAAUAAAGUAUCUAAAAUAAACACAUACACAAUCAUUUUCCAGGCCUUAAAGACAUACUGAUAUUGCUCUGAGUCUUGUUUUAGACACUGUCAUGCCAUUAUUUUUACUACUUAAAAUAUGAAAAUGUAUUAAUCUAAAAGGAGUAAUUUCCUUGACAUGUCAAGAGUUUUUACAAACUAAUAAGAAUAAGGUUAAUAAACAGCACAACAAGAAUAGCAAUAAAACAACCUAAUAUAAAUUAGACUAACAUACAACCCAAGAGAAAAUAGGAAGAAGACAUGAAAACAAUUUAUGAUAAAAUACUUUGGCUUGUAGAAUGUAUGGCAAAAUGUUAACCUCAUUUAAAUCAAGCAAUGAGACACCACCAGUUAAAGUUUGAAAGACAUUGUCAGGGAAUAUGUAUUUCAUUGUCCCCUAGUUUAUAAUAAACAUUGCAGGUAGCUCAAAUGUUGGUCUCAAUGCUCUUCAUAAAGAUUUCUAUUGUUUUUCCUUUUUAUUAUUCUUUUAUCCCCAGGCUGUGAUUUUUCUCACUUUGGCCUUUUCAUAUGUUCCCUCCAGCAACAAUGUUGGCUAUGUCUGCACAGAAUUUCUAAUCCAAAGAGGUGACUCAAAAUAUUUUGGAGGUUCUCUAUGCAGCAUCAGAGAAAAAAAGUCCCAUGCGUCCGAAUCACAAUUUACACCUAAGGGCUCAUUAACAUUAAGAAGCCCUUAGGUGUAAAUGCUGUAUUCCCAAAGUUAUCAACAGUUUUUUAAAAAGAGCUGCCCAGAUGAAAUGGGCAAAGCUAUCAUUUGCUGCCAAACGUCAGUCAACCAGGGAAAAAAAGAGAAGGAGGAAACCAUUUAAAUAAGUGUUAUUCUUAAUUUGGAUACAUUUUUAAUUUUUGAAAAAUAGGGGUUAUCUUAUCUAUAAAAUCAACCAAUACUACCUUCUUCAAUUUGAAUGUAAAGGUUUAAAUGUAAAUAAUACUUGUUAAUAAUCAUAUGCAUGCCUUAUCACAUUUAAUUAUUAAAAUAACCCUAUGACGUAGGUACUAUUAUUAAUUAUUCCCAAUUUACAGAUGAAAAAGCUAAUGUUUACAGAGAUUAAAGAAUUUGCUGCAAAUCACAUGACUAGUAAGUGGCAGAGCUGUGAUUUGAUCCCAGGUAGUCUCUUUUUGAAAUCCAGUUUCUUAAGUACUCUACUGUUCUACCUAUAAACUCUUGCUGUGCCCAGAAAAUAAUUUUGUUUUCCCUCAUACUGAGGAUCAGCAUAAAUUUUCAUAGAGAUAACUUUCCUUUCUCAGAAUCUACUGCCCCUUUGAGUGAGACUGGAAUUUGGUGAUAUUUAGAGAGGGCAAAGGGCACCUUCUCUGUGCUUUCCUUACUUCUAAGUUCUCCCAGUGGACUAGCUCCAGACACUUCUCUUGGUUGGACAUGAUCCAAAAUGUUCUUUUUUGCUUCUGCUUCUAGAAAGCUAAUCAACCCAAAUCAUUAAGCAAAAUCCGCUUUAAAAAUUAGUAAUAGACCAAGUCCCGUGGUAUCAUCAGAGGUUUGGCUAAGACCACAGGGAAAGAGCUAAUGUCUGCCAUAUGCAAAGACUUCUUCACAGAUACUUGCUAUAGGACCUAAGGAUACACAAUAAAAGCAAUCAUGGAGAAAUAAAUUUCAACUCCACUUGAAUGAGCUUAUUAAUAAUUAGAGUUUUCGGCCAGGCGCAGUGGCUCACACCUGAAUCCCAGCACUUUGGGAGGCCAAGGCAGGCAGAUCACGAGGUCAGGAGAUCAAGACCAUCCUGGCUAACAUGGUGAAACCCCGUCUCUACUAAAAAUCCAAAAAAAAAAAAAUUAGCCGGGUGUGGUGGUGGGCACCUGUAGUCCCAGCUACUCCGGAGGCUGAGGCAGG
This 12385-nucleotide long non-coding RNA is filed under the name Homo sapiens (human). Its description in RNAcentral is "HSALNT0330446". The record is from RNAcentral. Lineage: Eukaryota; Metazoa; Chordata; Mammalia; Primates; Hominidae.